GAUGAACGCUGGCGGCGUGCCUAAUACAUGCAAGUCGAGCGAACGGACGAGAAGCUUGCUUCUCUGAUGUUAGCGGCGGACGGGUGAGUAACACGUGGAUAACCUACCAAUAAGACUGGGAUAACUUCGGGAAACCGUAGCUAAUACCGGAUAAUAUUUUGAACCGCAUGGUUCAAAAGUGAAAGACGGUCUUGCUGUCACUUAUAGAUGGAUCCGCGCUGCAUUAGCUAGUUGGUAAGGUAACGGCUUACCAAGGCAACGAUGCAUAGCCGACCUGAGAGGGUGAUCGGCCACACUGGAACUGAGACACGGUCCAGACUCCUACGGGAGGCAGCAGUAGGGAAUCUUCCGCAAUGGGCGAAAGCCUGACGGGGCAACGCCGCGUGAGUGAUGAAGGUCUUCGGAUCGUAAAACUCUGUUAUUAGGGAAGAACAUAUGUGUAAGUAACUGUGCACAUCUUGACGGUACCUAAUCAGAAAGCCACGGCUAACUACGUG
Molecule: ribosomal RNA, 497 nt
Filed under: uncultured bacterium
Lineage: Bacteria
Description: partial 16S ribosomal RNA
Rfam family: Bacterial small subunit ribosomal RNA
Source: RNAcentral